Molecule: transfer RNA, 71 nt
Filed under: Marmota monax (woodchuck)
Lineage: Eukaryota; Metazoa; Chordata; Mammalia; Rodentia; Sciuridae
Description: tRNA.Ala
Rfam family: tRNA
About the family: Transfer RNA (tRNA) molecules are approximately 80 nucleotides in length. Their secondary structure includes four short double-helical elements and three loops (D, anti-codon, and T loops).
Source: RNAcentral
GGGGUUGUGGCUCAGUGGUCGAGUACUCACCUAGCAUGUGAGAGGCACUGGGUUCAAUCCUCAGCACCACA